GACGAACGCUGGCGGCGUGCUUAACACAUGCGAGUCGAACGGAAAGGCCCUGCUUUUGUGGGGUGCUCGAGUGGCGAACGGGUGAGUAACACGUGAGUAACCUGCCCUUGACUUUGGGAUAACUUCAGGAAACUGGGGCUAAUACCGGAUAGGAGCUCCUGCUGCAUGGUGGGGGUUGGAAAGUUUCGGCGGUUGGGGAUGGACUCGCGGCUUAUCAGCUUGUUGGUGGGGUAGUGGCUUACCAAGGCUUUGACGGGUAGCCGGCCUGAGAGGGUGACCGGCCACAUUGGGACUGAGAUACGGCCCAGACUCCUACGGGGGGCAGCAGUGGGGAAUAUUGCACAAUGGGCGGAAGCCUGAUGCAGCAACGCCGCGUGCGGGAUGACGGCCUUCGGGUUGGAAACCGCUUUCGCCUGUGACGAAGCGUGAGUGACGGUAAUGGGUAAAGAAGCACCGGCUAACUACGUG
RNAcentral lists this ribosomal RNA (468 nucleotides) under uncultured bacterium. RNAcentral describes it as "partial 16S ribosomal RNA". It matches the Rfam family "Bacterial small subunit ribosomal RNA", at positions 28 to 507 of the family's 1533-position model. The record is from RNAcentral.